RNAcentral lists this ribosomal RNA (253 nucleotides) under uncultured prokaryote. RNAcentral's name for it is "partial 16S ribosomal RNA". It matches the Rfam family "Bacterial small subunit ribosomal RNA", at positions 524 to 776 of the family's 1533-position model. The record is from RNAcentral.
UACAGAGGGUGCAAGCGUUAAUCGGAAUUACUGGGCGUAAAGGGCGCGUAGGUGGUUGAAUAAGUGAGUUGUGAAAUCCCUGGGCUUAACCUAGGAACAGCAACUUAUACUGUCUGACUAGAGUACUGUAGAGGGUAGUGGAAUUUCCGGUGUAGCGGUGAAAUGCGUAGAUAUCGGAAGGAACAUCAGUGGCGAAGGCGACUGCCUGGACAGAUACUGACACUGAGGCGCGAAAGCGUGGGGAGCAAACAGG